AGAGUUUGAUCAUGGCUCAGGACGAACGCUGGCGGCGUGCCUAACACAUGCAAGUCGCACGAGGACCAAGGUGCUUGCACCUUGUAGCCGAGUGGCGGACGGGUGAGUAACACGUGACCAACCUGUCUUCGGAAGGGGGACAACCUGGGGAAACCCGGGCUAAUACCGCAUAACGUCCAGUGGCCGCAUGGUCGUUGGAUAAAAGAGGGCCUCUACUUGUAAGCUCUUGUCCGGAGAGGGGGUCGCGGCGUGUCAGCUAGUUGGUGAGGUAACGGCUCACCAAGGCGACGACGCGUAGCGGGUCUGAGAGGACGACCCGUCACAUUGGGACUGAGAUACGGCCCAGACUCCUACGGGAGGCAGCAGUGGGGAAUAUUGCGCAAUGGACGAAAGUCUGACGCAGCGACGCCGCGUGUGGGAGGAAGCCCUUCGGGGUGUAAACCACUGUCAGGGGGGAAGAACCCCGGAAUUGGAAAUACUGAUUUCGGUUGACGGUACCCCCAGAGGAAGCGCCGGCUAACUCCGUGCCAGCAGCCGCGGUAAGACGGAGGGCGCAAGCGUUGUUCGGAAUUACUGGGCGUAAAGCGCACGCAGGCGGUCUUUUAAGUCCUUUGUGAAAGCCCGGGGCUCAACCCCGGAAUCGCGUAGGAUACUGGAAGACUGGAGACCAGUAGAGGCUAGCGGAAUUCCUGGUGUAGCGGUGGAAUGCGUAGAUAUCAGGAAGAACACCUGUGGCGAAGGCGGCUAGCUGGGCUGGAUCUGACGCUCAUGUGCGAAAGCGUGGGGAGCAAACAGGAUUAGAUACCCUAGUAGUCC
Molecule: ribosomal RNA, 816 nt
Filed under: uncultured bacterium
Lineage: Bacteria
Description: bacterial SSU rRNA
Rfam family: Bacterial small subunit ribosomal RNA
Source: RNAcentral